AAGUCGUAACAAGGUUUCCGUAGGUGAACCUGCGGAAGGAUCAUUAAAAAGAGGACAACUAGCACACCGUGAACCUAAAGAACUGGACACGUGUAAACUGAACUGUAAACUAUACUUUUGACAACUUUUAGCAACGGAUCUCUAGGUUCUC
RNAcentral lists this unclassified non-coding RNA (151 nucleotides) under fungal sp. RNAcentral's name for it is "partial internal transcribed spacer region". The stretch from base 1 to 46 matches the Rfam family "Eukaryotic small subunit ribosomal RNA", at positions 1786 to 1831 of the family's 1831-position model. The record is from RNAcentral. Lineage: Eukaryota; Fungi.